GCUUCCUUGGCUCAGUUGGUAGAGCGUUGGUCUCAUAAUCCAAAGGUCGCCAGUUCAAGCCUGGCAGGGAGCA
This 73-nucleotide transfer RNA is filed under the name Sphaerobolus stellatus SS14. Its description in RNAcentral is "tRNA-Met (CAT) (tRNA-Met-CAT-4-1)". It matches the Rfam family "tRNA". Rfam says of the family: Transfer RNA (tRNA) molecules are approximately 80 nucleotides in length. Their secondary structure includes four short double-helical elements and three loops (D, anti-codon, and T loops). The record is from RNAcentral. Lineage: Eukaryota; Fungi; Basidiomycota; Agaricomycetes; Geastrales; Sphaerobolaceae.